UUCAGAGGAUUUAUUGUUGCUUAGUGUGAAACUGUUUUUGGUGUCUCAGGAUGUGAACCCAAAUAUUUUACAGAUGGUGUUAGUGUUGCAAGUGGUAAUUUCCUGGCAGCUAAGAGAAGAGGAGUAGUAGAAGGAAUUGAUUAUGGAUCAACGGGUGAAGUUAAGAAAGUAGAUGUUUCUCGUAUACAACUAUUGGGAAAGAUUUUUGUCCAAUCGGGAAACAAUAUUAGGUCUGUUUAUUAAUUUGGUUUGACAUUUCAUACUAUUUGUCAGGAAUUACAUUCAUUAUCUUUACUUCUGGGGGAUUCUUGAGCGGGA
Long non-coding RNA from Salvia miltiorrhiza (redroot sage), 318 nucleotides. RefSeq lists it as uncharacterized. NCBI's taxonomy places the organism in Eukaryota, Viridiplantae, Streptophyta, Magnoliopsida, Lamiales, Lamiaceae. The record is from RefSeq and is a predicted model, not a curated record. The transcript is spliced from 3 exons.